UUGAAUUUCCUCUCCUUCCCCUUUUAACCUUUUCUUCUACCAUUCUGCUUAGAGUCUUCUGCCCCACCCCCACUACAAAAGUGGCACCAGAACCAUACUACCAAAAAGUAUUGUGCAGUAUUAUACUGGCCACAGAGAGAGAGAGAGAGAGAGAGAGAGAGAGAGAGAGAGAGAAAGAGAGAGAGAGUCCGGGAUUGGGCUUUUCUAGGGUUUCUCAUCUUUAUUCACAACUAGAUUAUUAUCAACUCCAGUUUGUCCCCACCAAAUAGCAAGGAUGAAGUCGGGGGUUUGGGUAGCUUGGACGGCCAACUGCUAUAUGUUUACACAACAGUCCCAAAGGCCAAAGGGGGCAAAGCCUCGAGGAAGAAGGCUGGGAGGAAGAGGAUGAAGGAAAAAACGAGUCCUGCCAUGGCUUUCCACAGCUUUCUUGAACUUCUCUUUUUGUUAUUUAAGAUCAAGAAGUUCAAAAAAGCUGUGGGAAUCGAUGGCGAUUUAGGACUUUCUCACUUUUUUGGCUGAUCGAUGGUGCAAUUCUCCUAUCUUCACUGAUCUGCUUAUGCAUAUGCAGUGCUGACUCUUGUGAGCAUGAAAGAUGUGCAUGCAAGACAGAGAUCCUUAACUUUUAUGCAGUGCAUUGGCGAAGACUCUAAACUUCUGUGCAGUGCAGUAUGUUAUUUGGCUUCAACAUUGAAAAAUUGCUCCAAUCCAUCCAUGGGGCUCAGCUUACAUGUUAUGGGGGAAAUAAAGAAAAUGGUGUUAAUUCUUCCUGUUUUUCUGUUGUUCAUCUUGAAGACGGACCAUGAGCAUCAGAGGAAGGGUGAAGGAUAGAGGUGCUUUUGUUUGAAGAACAUCUCUCCCAUCUUCAAUAUAUGGAUAUCAGGGCGUUAAUUAAGGGGUAAAUGCUUUUAUUUCCCCUUUUUUUUCUAAUUACAGCGAACACUGUUGGAUUUGUGUUGUGAAAUGCAAUUCAAGUAGGGGCUUCUCCAUCUUUAGGGGGAUAUUGGAUGAGAGGGUGCAACCUGAUGUUCUCUAGGGUUGUCCGCAAUCUUGGUUUCACACGAUAAUUAGCUCUAUUUCUGCAACCAACUUCAUAUGAAAAAAAAUUUAUAGGUGCCAUUUCCAGAACAAGCUUACCUGUUUGCAAACUGUCCCUGCAGAAGCCGUUUGUUCUUGCAGACUUACGAUAUUCUUUCUGAGGAACGAAGUUGAGCGAUUAUCUACUUGUGUGUGUGAGAGAGAGAGGUGUAUAGGAGAAAAAGGGGAAGAGGGGAUGCUUCUGCAAUUGAUAAUAGUAAUUUAAUUCUCUCUACCUGGGCUAGGUGGGCUAGUAUAGAGAUAUAACUGGGCUGGGAUGAGAGGACCACAGGUUUAAUCUCUCUCUCUCUCUCUCUCUUAAAGUGUACAAAAACUGCUGUUAAUUUUCCAAAGGUAAAUUGUACUGGCUGUUGGGCAGCUCAAAUUUGAACACCAUUCUCCUCUCUACACCUCCAUCUCUCUACAUUUUAGGCUAUACUCUCCAUUGCAUAGAAAGAUUGGUCUACAUACAGCAGUUUCAAUGCAUGUAGAGAUCUCUGUAACAACUUGGCAGGGCUAAUUACCUCAGUACAUGCUUCAGUAUUCGCUCUCGAGUGCUGCAUGUUUACUCCAGGAGAUCUCUUGCUCGAAAAAUAAUCUUCAAAAUCUAAAUACUUAUCAUCUCAUCAGUGGGCGCAACCUUUUGUCACUUCAAUGUCGAUCAUAACCUCCUCCCUUUUGCUUUUUCUGCUUUCUUUUCAAGGAUUAUGACAGCAAAAACUCGAUACCCUACCUUUCAGUGGGCACUUUACCAAAAUAAGCUACACUGGCUAUUUCAAAGUGACAAUUUUUUUUUAUGAAAAUUCACAAGAUCUUGGCCUCUGCCGCUUAAUUUCCAUCCAUGGCCUCGACCAUGUCAUGUGAUUGUGGCCCUCCGCCUGUUAAGUCAAUUCGGACGCUACCUUUUACACAUCAUUAAUCAUGAAUGCUGGUGAAACCUCAUCGGCUGUAGUUGUUUUUACGUCACAGUCGAAAAUGAUGACAUUCUCUUGAAAAUGUCGUGGUUUUGCUGCAGGGCUUUCAAAAGGCCAGCACAGGCUUCUGGAUACAUGUAUGUAUGUCUGUAUUCUUAAAGAGUGCUUGUUCCAGAACUACUAUGUUACCAUGACAGUAAUACCUUACUGAAAUUUUAUGAAUCCCAAUAAAAGUGAGUGUAAAUCUCUUCUACUUAUGCUGCAGUAUCAUAUAUACCUCAUUAACUUGCUAAUAUAUACAUAUUUUCUUUGUUAUAUUAUAAAAUCUUCAUAGAUCUCCAGAUCUUCCAAGAACUAUCUAGGUUUAUCUAAGACUUCAGAGAGAGAGAGAGAGAGAGAGAGAGGAGUCUCUCUCAAUUGCUUACCAAUUAAUAAUGCAUCAGAGGGGCCAUGCUCUUACAUGAAGAGGAGGUCUGUAGGUCCACUUUCUCCGCAGCCUUGCAUGCGCCAACAUGGGACGUUAUGCAUAGGGACAAGAAGUAGCAGUGAUUUUUUCUUUUUUUCUGUAAGAGAGAGAGAGAGAGACAAGUGGGGAGGAACACAAGGAGGAGAUGGGUGUUCAUUUCCUUUCACCGUUUCAGAGAAGACGGCAUCUCCGCCAUUUAUUUUGUCUUCGCAGUCGAUUGAUGUGAAAUCUCUGGCUUCACCAAAUACCCGUUUGCCGUCCCAACGUGGAAGUCAUUUUCUCAACCCUAGUGAGAGAGAGAGAGAGAGCUCUGGUAACUUUUCUUUUAUGUCAACUCCAGCGGAUCUCUUUUGUUUUUACUCCUCUGUGUCCAAAAGAGAACAAGAUAGUGGUGAAAGUGCAACUAUGCAGUUCCGUGGGAAAGAAGAAGAAGAAGAAAACAUGAUUUCAUCACGAAAUUAUGUUCAUAUUUUUCUAAAAAAUUUAUAUUCAUCACAUCACUUUCAAUUUCCUGUUUUCUUGCUUGUAAAAAAAUCUCUCUAAUCUUUUGCAUCACUCAUGCUAUAUCCUGGCCUACCCAUAUUCUACAGUCUACGUAUGCUGACAUUUUCAUAUUGUAAAUUACCAUGACUAGUUCAUAUUGUAAACAGAAAAAAAGAAAGCAAAAGAAAACGAAAAGAAAAGGACGUUGGAAGACACCAGUAAAAGUGAACAGUGUCCUUUUACUCAUGAAAUGUAAGGCACUCAACGCAGGUGGUGAAAAUGUAUUUAAUGCAGCCGUAGAAUCAAGAUGCAGCAAAAAAAGAAAAAAAAUUCAAGCCUCAUAGUUUUUUAUUUCAAAUGUAAAUUCGAAAUUUAAAAUUCCACAAGCUGCUCUUUCACUUGGGUAGAUUCUGAAACUUCUGAUGUGGAGGCAUUUUGGCAGGUGAAAAAAAAAAUCCAGAAAUGGAAGCUAUUCGAAAUUCGAUAUCUUACGGGGACUGGCUUGUUAUUAUUAUAUAUGACCAUAUAUGGACAUAUGGUUACACGAAUCAUGCUUAUACUUUUGAGAAUGCCGUAAACUGAAGAGGUGGGUCCCACUUCGGCUACAAAAGAAUCUUAUGAUGCUCUGCAACCGAAUCACUCUUUUUAUUUUUACUUUUUCUGAGAACUUCAAUUAAUUUUUUUUUGGUCUAAAAAUAAAGGGAUGGCGUGAUAAAUUCCCUGUACUUUCUCCUUAACCCUUCGCACACGUGCGUCUUAAGCGUUACUUUUGUUUCAUCUAGAAAUCAAGUCCCCACUUUGCUAUUGCCAGGUGUUUAGAAAAAAUACAAUUCUCAAAAAGGAUACGGCUGCCCCAGUAAGAAAUUUCUGGGAAUACCACUAAAAUGAAAAUCUAAUUAAAUGAGGGGUUUGGCCAGAAACAUAUUUAAUAUUAUAGAAUUAAUGUAAAAAUAAAAAAUUUUAUAAGCUUCCGAACGAGCGAUUUACUUUAGAACGAAAUGGUCGAGAACCAAAAAAAUUAUAAAACACGGGUUUGAGCGCAGUUGUCCCUCCAAUUCCAUGGCUCUCUGUCUUUCGCUCUCUCCCUCUGUCUCUCUCGGAUGAAUGUUCCGCGGUUCCAUGUUUUUGAAGAAGACCAACAUAAGGAAGAAGGUGCAAGAGGAAGAGGUUGAGGCUUGAGUGGAUCGACUUCCGAAAUCCUGGCUCGCUCGACCCGUCUUCUUUGAACCAACCCUUCUGGUUUGGCCAAGCUAUCUGCUUCAUGAGAUAACCUAAAUUCUUAGAAUUGAUAUAUUUGUAACCAUGGAACUUGUCCUAAAAAUGAUGUCAUGCAUGAAAUGGCUAUGACAAUGGAGCACCAGACCUUCAUCCAGGAUUAUGCUUUACAUCGCACAGUCGUGCUCUAAUUCAGUAUAUUUUUCAGUGAGAAGAAAUCAUCAAUAUCUGAAUGGGGUCCAUUCAUGCAUUGCGAAAACCAUGCAUACUAAAAAAGUAGAAACUUAUUCUCUAGUACUGUAUAGGUAGUGGAUCCACUAUUUGCACAUAUUUGGUUGUUUGUCUUUGCUAAUAGAAAUAGAUAUGCCUUUCUGGUACCAUAUAGAAGUUCGUUUUCAAUCUUUUAGAAGGUUGAUUUUGUUUCCAAUAUCAAGAUUGCCAUUGGUUGUGCAGUUUUUAUAAUUGCACUGGCUAUUUAUAUUUCAUAUUCAGUUUGUAGUUUUGUUUGUUAAUCUAUUGUCUAUAUGAAAUAUUGCACGGAAUUUAAUAUGAGUAGUGGAUGAGACGUAUGCAUGACAGUACCUAUUCUUAGUGUCACCCAUGACAGUGAUCAGUAACUUUUCUUACCAUUACUUAGACAGCUUUAUGUACAAAAAAUGCUCUGCAUGUUUGUCAGGCCUAUGAAACAGUACCUAUAGACCUAUAAUUUUGAGUAAUUUUGAUUCAGAUUUGUAGCUUUUGGACUAUGAGAUUUGACACUUACAUGAUGCCUGCCUGCCACAAUAACCCAAUAAUUCUUCUGAUAGCAUUGGACCAACUCCACAAGUGUACAAUUUUCUUCUGAGAAACUUUUCUUUCACUUCACGUCCAAAGUGAAAUCUGGAUGAGGUUUUGAUUUUGGUUGGUUCGUGAGUCUCAGUCAUGUUGUCCGAUCUUCAGUAGAAAUGGACCAGAUAGCCCUUGAGAUUUUCCGAAAGGCAGAAAUCUUGCUUACAGCAUUAUGCUGCAUUUCACACUCAUUCUGAAGAUGUUCAUCAUUCUCACUGCCCCUGCUUUGGAUUCUAACUUGAGUCUUACUGCUGUCCACCUGGAGCAGCGAUUUCCACUACUUUAUGGUUCAGCAACCAUUUCCUAGAGGAGACUUGACGUAAUCAGGCAAGCAUCUUGCAGAAUUCUAUGACAGGUCAUUUGUUUGUUUCCUGGAAUUUACAUUCUCCUCAAGCUGGACAAAUAGUUGAUAUUCCUUUGAUUUGCCAACCAUAUAGAGAGAGGCUAAUAAACAGCUGGAUGAAACAAUUAGUGAAAAUAAAAUUUGAUACCUACGCUGUUAUGUCAACCA
Long non-coding RNA from Nymphaea colorata (pocket water lily), 5491 nucleotides. RefSeq lists it as uncharacterized. NCBI's taxonomy places the organism in Eukaryota, Viridiplantae, Streptophyta, Magnoliopsida, Nymphaeales, Nymphaeaceae. The record is from RefSeq and is a predicted model, not a curated record. The transcript has 3 exons.